Molecule: ribosomal RNA, 290 nt
Filed under: uncultured bacterium
Lineage: Bacteria
Description: partial 16S ribosomal RNA
Rfam family: Bacterial small subunit ribosomal RNA
Source: RNAcentral
GUGGAUUAGAUACCCUGGUAGUCCUAGCCGUAAACUAUGUAGACUUGGCGUUGGCGGAGUUAAAUCUGCCAGUGCCACAGCUAACGCGGUAAGUCUACCGCCUGAGGAUUACGAUCGCAAGGUUAAAACUCAAAGGAAUUGACGGGGGCCCGCACAAGCAGCGGAGCGUGUGGUUUAAUUCGAUGAUACACGAAGAACCUUACCAAGGUUUGACAUGCAAGUGGUAGUGAACUGAAAAGGGAACGACCCUUCGGGGAGCUUGCACAGGUGCUGCAUGGCCGUCGUCAGCU